Long non-coding RNA from Astatotilapia calliptera (eastern happy), 1099 nucleotides. The record is from Ensembl. NCBI's taxonomy places the organism in Eukaryota, Metazoa, Chordata, Actinopteri, Cichliformes, Cichlidae.
GAAUCGAGAAAAAAUUCCAGCCGACCAGGAAGUAAAGCCGGAAGCAGAGGAAGCAGUCGCAGAGGAAGUGACGCCUCCGACUUCGACAUCUCAGACAUCCAAUCCGUGUGCUCAGAUGUUUCCGAGACGGUCGGCGACUCUGCCAGAGCGACGCCGCGCUCCGCGUCCCGUCAACACGGAGGGAAACCCUCUAAGAUCCCCACACCUCAAAGAAGAAUGACCCCUACAAGCAAACUGGCCAAGGGAUUGAAGCGAUAGACAGUGGCCUUGAAAACAAACAAACAACAAACCCAGGAGCUAUUUGCACCCUAAACACAUAAUGGACACUGGAGAUGUGUAACUUAAAGAAAAAAAAGUAAAAAAGACUGCAAAUGUGUCACGUGUUAUUUAAAUUCUUGCAAAGAUGUAAAAUAUUCUGUUAAGAGGCAAUAUGGUUUAAUAUUUUGUGAGAAUGGAAAGUCAAUGGCCUUGUGUAUUUGUUUUUAAUGUAUUUUAUUUUUUGUGAAAAUAUGUCAAAUUGUUUUUAUUGUACUUUAUUUUUAUUUAUGCAAAUCCCGAAGAGGAUUGAUGAACACUAGAAAAUCUGGGAAUGAUCAAGCCGAACUAACAUUUCUACACUAAUGAAGGGCAAAGAUGCAGGAUAGUGCUCUAAGAGUUACUGAAUGUACUAUUAUUUAUGUAUGCUUUUAUUUGGAGUAGAUGGUGCAUUAUGGUACCGUUUGACACACUGCGAUUAUCUAUUUAAGUGCUAUGUUAUACUGCCAACAUGCAUUUAAAGGGCAAUGCAAUAUAUUACAAUAAACCCCACUAAGCACUGCAGAAGCCUUCGAAAACCCCUAUUUAAGACAAGUAGCAAAAACCUCGUAACCAUGAUGCUUUUAUGUACCCGUUUGUCAGCAGCUGCAGCCCGUCUUUUGUUUAACCACCUCACAGCAAAUGAGUACUCUGACCUCGAAGAGGUACCACUUCAUGUAGACAUUCUCUGUGCACCCAUGUCAAUGUAUGGUUAAUUUCGGUAGAGCUGAAAUUGUUACUGUAACAUUACUUUGUAAUAAACCUGCUUGCAGAAAGCCACCAGAGACUGGUGUGCACCACAGAA